RNAcentral lists this unclassified non-coding RNA (220 nucleotides) under plant metagenome. RNAcentral's name for it is "partial contains small subunit ribosomal RNA, internal transcribed spacer 1, and 5.8S ribosomal RNA". The record is from RNAcentral.
UCUCCGUAGGUGAACCUGCGGAGGGAUCAUUACAGAGUUCGUGCCCUCACGGGUAGAUCUCCCACCCUGUGUCAUUAUACCUUUGUUGCUUUGGCGGGCCGCCCUCGGCUACCGGCCCCGGCUGGUACGCGCCCGCCAGAGGACCCCAAACUCUGAAUGUUAGUGUCGUCUGAGUACUAUACAAUAGUUAAAACUUUCAACAACGGAUCUCUUGGUUCUG